CCCUUAGAUGUCCUGGGCUGCACGCGCGCUACACUGAUGUGUCCAGUAAGCACCUAACCUCUUCCGAAAGGAACGGGUAACCUUUGCAAAGCACAUCGUGAUGGGGAUAGAUUAUUGCAAUUAUUAGUCUUGAACGAGGAAUUCCUAGUAAGCACAAGUCAUCAGCUUGUGUUGAUUACGUCCCUGCCCUUUGUACACACCGCCCGUCGCUCCUACCGAUUGAAUGUUCCGGUGAGCUCUUCGGACUGCGCGGUCUGCAGUUUCUGCGUUCCGUGCGGAAAGUUGCGCAAACCUUAACAUUUAGAGGAAGGAGAAGUCGUAGCA
RNAcentral lists this ribosomal RNA (324 nucleotides) under uncultured eukaryote. RNAcentral's name for it is "partial 18S ribosomal RNA". It matches the Rfam family "Eukaryotic small subunit ribosomal RNA", at positions 1470 to 1796 of the family's 1831-position model. The record is from RNAcentral.